This 783-nucleotide non-coding RNA is filed under the name Pongo abelii (Sumatran orangutan). Lineage: Eukaryota; Metazoa; Chordata; Mammalia; Primates; Hominidae. The record is from RNAcentral.
AUGGGAACCAGACAGCAGCCUUGGGGACGCAGCAUCAACGACACCAAAGGCUGACAGUGAACUGAUGACAACAGUGACAAGCUCAUGAAGAAAGAAGGCAGGAUCUCAGGAGAAUGCGUAACAGGACACUCCACCUGGCAUGGUAGGUCAGGAAGAGGUCCUCAAAGAAGGAACAUGUAAAGUGUGAGCCGGCAGAAGUGGAAGCUGCAAGUGCAUCUUUCUGUAUCUCGUUUGUGAGAGCUCAUUAUCGAGUUGACACGAACCCCUGGCCCAGCACAUGCUGCACAGGCCGUACCUUUCUUGUGAAGAAUGUUCCGGGCUCGUACCAGGUCAGGAUCAUCAGGCCCAACACCCAGAAUUCUGAGAGACACAUAGUUGAGCGCAGUCCCAAACACGGUGGACUUAUCCUCAAUGUGCCUACAGGAGCAGAAGACAGGUGAGAAACCGGUAUCUGUCCUUACUUCUAAGAAAUAAAGUAAAACUUUCUGUGGAGUUUCCUCAGAAAACUAAGAAUGCUAAAAUGCCUUAACCUGACAUAACAUGUCAACACAGGAGACCCCUGAGCAGCCACUCUGCAGUACGAAUUCAUGCACCUCCCCUGACAACCGAGCCCCCCACUCCUUCCUCACCCUGACCCGUCUGCUCUACACCUUCCCACGCCUGAGUCAACACUUCUAGCCCAAGGGCGGUCCACUUUGGGCUACGGCUCUGCUCCCAAAGUGUGUGCCAUAUGGCAGGAAAGCUGUCAGGCCCUGUCUCCACCUGCUGCCAGCCCAGAGUCAA